RNAcentral lists this ribosomal RNA (403 nucleotides) under uncultured bacterium. RNAcentral describes it as "partial 16S ribosomal RNA". It matches the Rfam family "Bacterial small subunit ribosomal RNA", at positions 30 to 526 of the family's 1533-position model. The record is from RNAcentral.
AUUGAACGCUGGCGGCAGGCCUAACACAUGCAAGUCGAGCGAGCGGCGGACGGGUGAGUAAUGUAUGGGGACUGCCCGAUAGAGGGGGAUAACUACUGGAAACGGUAGCUAAUACCGCAUACUAUCGGAUAACCCAUAUGGGAUUAGCUAGUAGGGGAGGUAAUGGCUCACCUGGGCGACGAUCCCUAGCUGGUCUGAGAGGAUGAUCAGCCACAUGGGGACUGCGACACGGCCCAGACUCCUACGGAGGCAGCAGUGGGGAAUAUUGCACAAUGGGCGCAAUCCUGAUGCAGCCAUGCCGCGUGUAUGAAGAAGGCCCUGGGGUUGUAAAGUACUUCCAGUCGGGAGGCGUUACCGACAGAAGAAGCACCGGCUAACUCCGUGCCAGCAGCCGCGGUAAUAC